Molecule: ribosomal RNA, 777 nt
Filed under: uncultured Neocallimastigales
Lineage: Eukaryota; Fungi; Neocallimastigomycota; Neocallimastigomycetes; Neocallimastigales
Description: partial large subunit ribosomal RNA
Rfam family: Eukaryotic large subunit ribosomal RNA
Source: RNAcentral
CAUCACUACGCUAGAUGCAUAUCAAUAAGCGGAGGAAAAGAAACUAACAAGGAUUCCCCUAGUAACGGCGAGUGAAGCGGGAAGAGCUCAAAUUUGAAAUCUUAAAGGGCUUCCCUUUACGAAUUGUAGUUUAAAAAAAAGUGUUUUCUGUUGGAGUUUCGGUAAAAGUUCUUUGGGAUAGGACAUCAUAGAGGGUGAGAAUCCCGUAUUUGACCGUUACUUUCCAGCUGUGUGAUACACUUUCAAAGAGUCGGAUUGUUUGGGAAUGCAGUCCAAAAUGGGUGGUAAAUUUCAUCUAAAGCUAAAUAUUGGCGAGAGACCGAUAGCGAACAAGUACCGUGAGGGAAAGAUGAAAAGAACUUUGAAAAGAGAGUUAAACAGUACGUGAAAUUGUCAAAAGGGAAGCGUUUGACACCAGUGUUGUUUAGUUGAAAAUCAAUUCAAUAAUUUUUGAUUUUAAGUAGUAUUGACUUCAUCAGCUUGCUGCUUUCUUUUCAGGAAUUAUUGAAUGCACUUUUCAGUUAACAAGUCAACAUCAAUUUCUUUUGUUGUAAAAGGGUAAGAGGAAGGUGGCUUACGCUUCGGCGUAAGUGUUUAUAGCCUUUUACCUCUGCAAUCGGAGAGAUUGAGGACAGCAGCGUAGACUCUUCGGGGUUAGAUACACUUGUGCUAAGCUAUAGCCUUGUAUAGACAACUUGUUGACUAUGCUCAGUCAUGUAGCUUACUCGCUUGUGCUAUUUUACCUACGCUUAGGAUGUUGACACACGCGCGUGCUCG